Chrysolophus pictus (golden pheasant) is the source of this 103-nucleotide small nuclear RNA. NCBI's taxonomy places the organism in Eukaryota, Metazoa, Chordata, Aves, Galliformes, Phasianidae. The record is from Ensembl.
UUGCUUCAGCAGCACAUAUACUAAAAUCAGAACAAUACAGAGAAGAUUAGCAUAGGCCCUGCAUGAGGAUGACACAAAAUUUUGUUAAGCAUUCCAUCAAGCU